Molecule: ribosomal RNA, 468 nt
Filed under: uncultured bacterium
Lineage: Bacteria
Description: partial 16S ribosomal RNA
Rfam family: Bacterial small subunit ribosomal RNA
Source: RNAcentral
GACGAACGCUGGCGGCGUGCUUAACACAUGCAAGUCGAACGGAAAGGCCCUGCUUUUGUGGGGUGCUCGAGUGGCGAACGGGUGAGUAACACGUGAGUAACCUGCCCUUGACUUUGGGAUAACUUCAGGCAACUGGGGCUAAUACCGGAUAGGAGCUCCUGCUGCACGGUGGGGGUUGGAAAGUUUCGGCGGUUGGGGAUGGACUCGCGGCUUAUCAGCUUGUUGGUGGGGUAGUGGCUUACCAAGGCUUUGACGGGUAGCCGGCCUGAGAGGGUGACCGGCCACAUUGGGACUGAGAUACGGCCCAGACUCCUACGGGAGGCAGCAGUGGGGAAUAUUGCACAAUGGGCGGAAGCCUGAUGCAGCGACGCCGCGAGCGGGAUGACGGCCUUCGGGUUGUAAACCGCUUUCGCCUGUGACGAAGCGUGAGUGACGGUAAUGGGUAAAGAAGCACCGGCUAACUACGUG